AGUGAACGCUGGCGGUAGGCCUAACACAUGCAAGUCGAACGGCAGCACAGUAAGAGCUUGCUCUUACGGGUGGCGAGUGGCGGACGGGUGAGGAAUACAUCGGAAUCUACUUUUUCGUGGGGGAUAACGUAGGGAAACUUACGCUAAUACCGCAUACGACCUACGGGUGAAAGCAGGGGAUCUUCGGACCUUGCGCGAUUGAAUGAGCCGAUGUCGGAUUAGCUAGUUGGCGGGGUAAAGGCCCACCAAGGCGACGAUCCGUAGCUGGUCUGAGAGGAUGAUCAGCCAACAUGGAAUGGAGACCCGGCCCGGCCCCCGCGGGGAGGAAGAGGGGGGAAAUUUUGGCAAAGGGGGGCAAGCUUGACCAACCCAACCCGGGGGGGGAAAAAAGCCCUUGGGGUUUUAAAGCCCUUUUGUUGGGAAAAAAAAGCAGCAGGUUAAAACCCCGCUUUUUGGCGGGUCCCCAAAAAAAAAGCCCCGGUCAACUUCGG
RNAcentral lists this ribosomal RNA (491 nucleotides) under uncultured bacterium. Its description in RNAcentral is "partial 16S ribosomal RNA". It matches the Rfam family "Bacterial small subunit ribosomal RNA", at positions 29 to 506 of the family's 1533-position model. The record is from RNAcentral.